Long non-coding RNA from Brassica rapa (field mustard), 780 nucleotides. RefSeq lists it as uncharacterized. Lineage: Eukaryota; Viridiplantae; Streptophyta; Magnoliopsida; Brassicales; Brassicaceae. The record is from RefSeq and is a predicted model, not a curated record.
AUACGGCUGUCAGAAACUGAUGUCAUAAAAGUGGUACGAAAACUGAAGAGAAAAAUGGUGAGGAUAUUAUUGAGAAUGCGAGGCAGAGAUUUGAGACAGAUAGUGAUGUGUGAGAUGCCCUUUCGCCGGAACAUUUCUGUGAAACAGCUGCUAAUAGUGAGUAGAAAGAAUGUUUUAAUUUAACAUCCUGGCUUUGCGUAUAGUUUCUCCUUCUUAUACCUUCAUCGGAUACAGAUCCAUAUCCCAUCGGCUUUCUGGGAUUUUCGAGGUUUUGUAUAGUGUUUCAUAUUCCUGGGGUCAUUCCCACAUAAAAGACAAUUGUCUCUCCGUUUGUAAGAAAUUUAAUCUAAUCUCUUUUCAGCUUUUGAAUUACACUGCUUCUCGAGGAUGACAGUUUCUAAUUAAAUUGUGAUGGUUCACAGGACAAUAGUAUCACAAGAAGUUACACUAGACUCGGAUUAUCAAGAUCGACGAGUGGUUCUUGACUAAGCCUAUAGUCUAUUUACAAUGCAAAGGAGAGAAGAAAACAGUGUUCCUGAUCUGAAAAUAACAAACGUGCUUUAUAUUUUCAGAGGCCAUGAAUCAUGGUAGGUUCGUAUUUCUCUUUCGGAAUGUAGAUCAAUCGUGAGACAGCUGGUUUCUUGCUCAUUUUUGUUCUGAUUUUUAUAUAGCUAAAGGAAGAAUUUUCGACAUCUGUAAAGUUUUGUUUUUUUGUUUUUUUUUGGUCAAUUGUAAGGUUUUGUUUUAUCUUGACCCAGUGCAAAAAAGGCUGCAUCUUUC